This 1014-nucleotide long non-coding RNA is filed under the name Sorghum bicolor (sorghum). Its description in RNAcentral is "long non-coding RNA (SBIC_LNC017229)". Lineage: Eukaryota; Viridiplantae; Streptophyta; Magnoliopsida; Poales; Poaceae. The record is from RNAcentral.
CGGCUUAGGUUUCAAGGUUUAGGGUUUACGACUUAGGGUUUAGGGUUUAGGUUUAGAGUUUAGGGUUUAGGGCUUAGGUUUAGGGUUUAGUGUAUAUCAUUUGCUAAUAAUUAAAUAUAACAUAAUUGUACCACUAAUUUAAAACACUAAUUGUACCACUAAUUAUAGCACUAAUUGUACCACUAAUAGAUCCAUCUCGACAUACCGGUAGUUUGAAGGCGGUGAGACGGCGGAGAGACGGCGGUCGGUGUGGAGACUCGACGGGGACUUCGGUGACGAUGGCAGAGAGAUGUCGAUCUCGAAGAAGGAAGAAAUAGGGAACAAAUAUUAUAUCACAUUUCUAGAUUUAUAAGAAAUGCGGCGGUUAGGGCUAGAUCGGGCGCGGUGGGGAAGGAGAAGAAAGGGCUCUGCCCUUUAUAGGGCAGAGGCAAUAUUCUAGAUUUAUAAGAAAUUGGUACUAUAAUAUACAUGAAAAUAAAUAAAUAUAUAAUGUAAUACAAAUAAUAACUAGAGCGAAGCAUAAGAAAAAAAAUAAAUACAUGUAACUAAGAAAAAAAUUUAAAGAACAUCGUAUAUAUAUUACGUGAACAUCCCUAUAGUUAUUUCUUUGUUUAUUCAUAUUUUUUUUCAUUUUUUUCAUUUUCAUUUCUCAGACCUUGUUUAGUUUGCAAAAAUUACAGUUUUUCAUUUUUAUUUGACAAACAUUGUCCAAUUAUGAAAUAAUUAGGCUCAAAAGAUUCAUCUUACAAAUUACAGGUAAACAGUGCAAUUAGUUUUUAUUUUCGUCUAUUUGCAAAAUAGGAAUAGUAUAAUUUCAUUUGUAUUUAACAAAUAUUAUCCAAUCAUGUACUAAUUAGACUCAAAAGAUUCGUCUCAUCAAUUCCGACCAAAUUGUGCAAUUAGUUUUUAUUUUUGUCUAUACUUAAUAGUUCAUGCAUGCGUCUAAAGAUUUAAUGUGAAGGAGAAUUAAAAAAUUUUACAAAUUUUAUUAGGAACUAAACAAGGCCGCAGCGC